GUAGGUGGCAAGCGUUGUCCGGAAUUAUUGGGCGUAAAGCGCGCGCAGGCGGUUCUUUAAGUCUGAUGUGAAAGCCCACGGCUCAACCGUGGAGGGUCAUUGGAAACUGGAGAACUUGAGUACAGAAGAGGAAAGCGGAAUUCCACGUGUAGCGGUGAAAUGCGUAGAGAUGUGGAGGAACACCAGUGGCGAAGGCGGCUUUCUGGUCUGUAACUGACGCUGAGGCGCGAAAGCGUGGGGAGCAAACAGGGAUUAGAUACCCUGGUAGUCCACGCCGUAAACGAUGAGUGCUAAGUGUUAGGGGGGUUUUCCGCCCCCCUUAGUGCUGCAGCUAACGCAUUAAGCACUCCGCCCUGGGAGUACGGCCGCAAGGCUG
RNAcentral lists this ribosomal RNA (376 nucleotides) under uncultured organism. RNAcentral's name for it is "partial 16S ribosomal RNA". It matches the Rfam family "Bacterial small subunit ribosomal RNA", at positions 527 to 896 of the family's 1533-position model. The record is from RNAcentral.